Molecule: small nuclear RNA, 165 nt
Organism: Sorex araneus (European shrew)
Lineage: Eukaryota; Metazoa; Chordata; Mammalia; Eulipotyphla; Soricidae
Product: U1 spliceosomal RNA
Exons: 1
Source: RefSeq, a predicted model, not a curated record
ACACUUACCCGGCAGGGGAGAUACCAUGAUCACGCAGGUGUUUUACCCAGGGUGCGGUUUAUCCAUGGCGCGCCGGGUGUGCUUGACCCCCGCGACUUCCCCAAACGUGGGGAAAAGUCAACUACAGAAUUCGUGGUAGUGGAGUCACACUGCAUUCACACUCCC